This 74-nucleotide transfer RNA is filed under the name Candidatus Nitrosacidicoccus tergens. RNAcentral's name for it is "Chromatiaceae bacterium RW Gln tRNA". It matches the Rfam family "tRNA". From Rfam's summary of the family: Transfer RNA (tRNA) molecules are approximately 80 nucleotides in length. Lineage: Bacteria; Pseudomonadati; Pseudomonadota; Gammaproteobacteria; Chromatiales; Chromatiaceae. The record is from RNAcentral. RNAcentral also lists the same sequence under 1 other name.
UGGGGGAUCGUCUAGUGGUAGGACAGUGGACUCUGACUCCACGAACCUAGGUUCGAAUCCUAGUCCCCCAGCCA